GAUGAACGCUGGCGGCGUGCCUAAUACAUGCAAGUCGAGCGAACGGACGAGAAGCUUGCUUCUCUGAUGUUAGCGGCGGACGGGUGAGUAACACGUGGAUAACCUACCUAUAAGACUGGGAUAACUUCGGGAAACCGGAGCUAAUACCGGAUGAUAUUUUGAACCGCAUGGUUCAAAAGUGAAAGACGGUCUUGCUGUCACUUAUAGAUGGAUCCGCGCAGCAUUAGCUAGUUGGUAAGGUAACGGCUUACCAAGGCAACGAUGCAUAGACGACCUGAGAGGGUGAUCGGCCACACUGGAACUGAGACACGGACCAGACUCCUACGGGAGGCAGCAGUAGGGAAUCUUCCGCAAUGGGCGAAAGCCUGACGGAGCAACGCCGCGUGAGUGAUGAAGGUCUUCGGAUCGUAAAAAUCUGUUAUUAGGGAAGAACAUAUGUGUAAGUAACUGUGCACAUAUUGACGGUACCUAAUCAGAAAGCAACGGCUAACUACGUG
RNAcentral lists this ribosomal RNA (497 nucleotides) under uncultured bacterium. RNAcentral describes it as "partial 16S ribosomal RNA". It matches the Rfam family "Bacterial small subunit ribosomal RNA", at positions 28 to 507 of the family's 1533-position model. The record is from RNAcentral.